UACGGAGGGUGCGAGCGUUAAUCGGAAUUACUGGGCGUAAAGCGCGCGUAGGUGGCUUGAUAAGCCGGUUGUGAAAGCCCCGGGCUCAACCUGGGAACGGCAUCCGGAACUGUCAGGCUAGAGUGCAGGAGAGGAGAGCGGAAUUCCACGUGUAGCGGUGAAAUGCGUAGAUAUGUGGAGGAACACCAGUGGCGAAGGCGGCUCUCUGGACUGACACUGACACUGAGGUGCGAAAGCGUGGGUAGCAAACAGG
RNAcentral lists this unclassified non-coding RNA (253 nucleotides) under uncultured Halomonadaceae bacterium. Its description in RNAcentral is "contains 16S-23S intergenic spacer region". It matches the Rfam family "Bacterial small subunit ribosomal RNA", at positions 524 to 776 of the family's 1533-position model. The record is from RNAcentral. Lineage: Bacteria; Pseudomonadati; Pseudomonadota; Gammaproteobacteria; Oceanospirillales; Halomonadaceae.